This 74-nucleotide transfer RNA is filed under the name Chloroflexota bacterium. Its description in RNAcentral is "tRNA-Asp". It matches the Rfam family "tRNA". From Rfam's summary of the family: Transfer RNA (tRNA) molecules are approximately 80 nucleotides in length. Their secondary structure includes four short double-helical elements and three loops (D, anti-codon, and T loops). Further hydrogen bonds mediate the characteristic L-shaped molecular structure. tRNAs have two regions of fundamental functional importance: the anti-codon, which is responsible for specific mRNA codon recognition, and the 3' end, to which the tRNAs corresponding amino acid is attached (by aminoacyl-tRNA synthetases). tRNAs cope with the degeneracy of the genetic code in two manners: having more than one tRNA (with a specific anti-codon) for a particular amino acid; and 'wobble' base-pairing, i.e. permitting non-standard base-pairing at the 3rd anti-codon position. The record is from RNAcentral. Lineage: Bacteria; Bacillati; Chloroflexota.
GGAACCGUGGUGUAGAGGUCUAACAUGCGUCCCUGUCAAGGACGAGGUCGCGGGUUCGAAUCCCGUCGGUUCCG